Molecule: ribosomal RNA, 469 nt
Filed under: uncultured bacterium
Lineage: Bacteria
Description: partial 16S ribosomal RNA
Rfam family: Bacterial small subunit ribosomal RNA
Source: RNAcentral
GACGAACGCUGGCGGCGUGCUUAACACAUGCAAGUCGAACGGAAAGGCCCUGCUUGCAGGGUGCUCGAGUGGCGAACGGGUGAGUAACACGUGGGUGAUCUGCCCCUUACUUUGGGAUAAGCCUGGGAAACUGGGUCUAAUACUGGAUAGGACCAUGCUGUAGGUGGUGUGGUAGAAAGAUUAGUUUCGGUAAGGGAUGAGCUCGCGGCCUAUCAGCUUGUUGGUGGGGUAAUGGCCUACCAAGGCGUCGACGGGUAGCCGGCCUGAGAGGGUGGACGGCCACAUUGGGACUGAGAUACGGCCCAGACUCCUACGGGAGGCAGCAGUGGGGAAUAUUGCACAAUGGGCGCAAGCCUGAUGCAGCGACGCCGCGUGGGGGAUGACGGCCUUCGGGUUGUAAACUCCUUUCAGCCAUGACGAAGCCCUUGUGGUGACGGUAGUGGUAGAAGAAGCACCGGCUAACUACGUG